UCUGCCGCCCUUGAAUCCCAUUUCCCCUCCAAUUCUCUCUGCAACAUCACUCAAACCCUAGCCACCGCCACCCAAAUCAACUAAUCCUUUUCUAUCAUCACUCGAACCAUGGACUCCCAGGGCUGUUUGAGACAUAUACCGCUCUCCUACGUCUAGGUGGUUGCCUAUUUUCGUGAUUUCACGGAAAGAUAUCAAAGAGAUCUAGCCUAGACCAUGCUCGACUUCUAUCCAUGGUCUCUUUCCGACCAUCCAUGGCCGUUCAAGUCAGAUCCAUGACUUUUCCGGCUAUAUCGGUAACUUUUCGAAGUUUUCUCACUUUUUCUGAGUUCUCUGAAACCCUAAAUUUUAAGACUUUCCCAUUUUUCUUUUAGAUCUGGGUAUGUUAUAAUCCUCUUGGUGUUUUUCUCAAAGGUUCCUCCGAUUUAUUUUUCAAAAAAAUGACUCUUCAUCUUCAAAGAUUAGGGUUUUCUUAAUCUCUUUUAAAAGACUUCUCCUCUUAUUUCGUUGUUUUCUUAUGAUUUUACUCUGUUUAAACAGUUUGUUCAUGUUUUCUACCUGGUUCAUGGUGUUGAAAUCCCUAAGUAUUUUGGUUCUAUCCGCGAAUCUAAAAUUGUCUUUAUUUAUUUUGUAUACUUGUUUCGACU
RNAcentral lists this long non-coding RNA (644 nucleotides) under Nicotiana benthamiana. RNAcentral describes it as "long non-coding RNA (NBEN_LNC005303)". Lineage: Eukaryota; Viridiplantae; Streptophyta; Magnoliopsida; Solanales; Solanaceae. The record is from RNAcentral.